UGUUCCCCUGAUGAGAGGUUCCGGAGCUAACGCGUUAAGUCGACCCCUGGGGAGUACGGCCGCAAGGUUAAAACUCAAAUGAAUGCCCGGGGCCCCGCACAAGCGGUGGAGCAUGUGGUUUAAUUUGAUGCAACGCGAAAACCCUUCCUACCUCUUGACAUCCAGAGACGUUAGCAGAGAUUCUUUGGAGCCUUGGGGAACUCUGGGACAGGUGCAGCAUGGCUGUGUUCUCUUAUAGGGGCGAAAUGUUGAGAAAAAUCCCGCAGCGGGCGCACCCCUUUUCUUUUUUUGCCAGCCGUUCAGCCGGGAACUCAAAAGAGACUGCCAGUGACAAACUGGAGGAAGGGGGGGAUGACGUCAAGUCAUCAUGGCCCUUACGGGUAGGGCUACCCCCUCAUACAAUGGCCAUACAAAGAGAAACCCCCGCGGGAGAGCACCCCCCCCUCUAAAGUAUGUCGUGGUCCGGAUCGGAGUCUCAACUAGACGCGUGAGUUUGGAAUCGCUAAUAAUCGGGGAUCAGAAUCCCCGGUAAUACGUUCCCGGUCCUUCUAGGACCCCCCUCCACCAUGAAGUGUCCCCCUUACCCUUUUUAUUUCCCUUCGGGAGGGCGCUUACCCCCUUUGGGAUUCAGCACGGGGGGGGAAGUCGAUACCAAAGGCCGCAGCCC
Molecule: ribosomal RNA, 667 nt
Filed under: Pragia sp. SYC45
Lineage: Bacteria; Pseudomonadati; Pseudomonadota; Gammaproteobacteria; Enterobacterales; Budviciaceae
Description: partial 16S ribosomal RNA
Rfam family: Bacterial small subunit ribosomal RNA
Source: RNAcentral